UACAUGGGGUGCAAACGUUGUUCGGAAUUACUGGGCGUAAAGGGCUCGUAGGUGGCCAACUAAGUCGGACGUGAAAUCCCUCAGCUUAACUGGGGAACUGCGUCCGAUACUGGAUGGCUUGAGUUUGGGAGAGGGAUGCGGAAUUCCAGGUGUAGCGGUGAAAUGCGUAGAUAUCUGGAGGAACACCGGUGGCGAAGGCGGGUCUCUGGGCCGAUACUGACGCUGAGGAGCGAAAGCGUGGGGAGCGAACAGG
Molecule: ribosomal RNA, 253 nt
Filed under: uncultured bacterium
Lineage: Bacteria
Description: partial 16S ribosomal RNA
Rfam family: Bacterial small subunit ribosomal RNA
Source: RNAcentral